UGGGUAACCUGCCUCAAAGAGGGGAAUAGCCUCCCGAAAGGGAGAUUAAUACCGCAUAAUAUGUUUAAGUCGCAUGACUUUAACAUCAAAGGAUUUCUUUUAAGAAAUUCCACUUUGAGAUGGACCCGCGGCGCAUUAGCUAGUGGUGAGGUAACGGCUACACCAAGGCAACGAUGCGUAGCCGACCUGAGAGGGUGACUCCGGCCACAGUUGGAACUGAGACCACGGUCAGACCUCCCGUAGGGACG
RNAcentral lists this ribosomal RNA (248 nucleotides) under uncultured bacterium. Its description in RNAcentral is "partial 16S ribosomal RNA". It matches the Rfam family "Bacterial small subunit ribosomal RNA", at positions 118 to 348 of the family's 1533-position model. The record is from RNAcentral.